AAGGAACAUGUCAGCGUUUGGACUCUCACUGCAGAGGGAGCUCAGAAUAUUACAGACCAGGGUGAAACUAUCUAAAUUCCCAGAACAUUAUAUUUCAUUUCACAUAUGGGAAAACUGAUACUCAGGAAUCUGAGAUUGAUCACCCAAAGGCUCACAGCUUAUCCACUGACAGAACUGCAACCAGCAUAUGCCUCCAUGGCUGACUCCUCUUCAUGGGACAAAGUGAUUAGUUGAAACCUGCUUCCUCAUCCCUCCCGCUGUGCUACAUGCUUCCUCACUCCUAUCCCAGAAGAGAGGAAAGAACAUCUUGAAAAUCCUUCAGAAGAGCAAAGAGCCAUAUUUCUCAGAGGCUCCCAGCAAACGAAUCUUCAUGCUUCUAGACCCAAAUUUGCUUGCAUGCCCAUCCUUUCACCAAAAUCUGGGGCCGAGAAUAGGGCCACACUAGUCUGAAUCGGAUGUCCUGCCAAGGGCCAGGGGUGGAGCCAGCCUCAAAUGAAGUGCUUGGGCUGGGUAGGGUUGGCAUUAAUACCCAAUGAAAGUUGGGGUAAUCACCAAGAGAAGAAGAAAUGGAUGCCGGGGAGUCACCUUCUCGUCCAUUCACUGCGGAGACUGUUGCUUUCAAAAGGCAAGUGGGGUUUCUGCCUUUAAACAAUGAGUGUUCUAUGAGACAAUCCUAGAGUGCAGUGGGCCAGUUUUUGCCAGGAGUCCCCAUCAGUUAGGAUGGUUAAAGAGGAGAAUCUUUUCUGUACCUACCAUCCUGGUCUGGAAAGAAUUUGGGUCAGAGCAUCAGACACACCUCGGUUGAAUCCCAGCUCUGCCAUUUACUUUGUAACCAAGUGUGUUGCUUAAUCUCUCUCUCUGUCUCUGCUUCCUACAUGCAACCUGAGGGCAAUAAUGCCUACUUCACUGUGUUAUGAGAGAAUUAAAAAAAAUAAAGCAUUUAAAUUAUCUAGCACAGUGCUCAGUACAUAGGUAAUUACUUUCCUUUCUGUGUGCCUUAAUUACUUGUUUAGAGAGCACAGAAUCAGAAAAGGGAGCUAUAAUGGCCUGAGUCAUUGAUCUUUACCCAAGAGAAGAUCCUAUUAUCUGGAUUUAUGAGACACAGCAUGGGCCUACAUCCCCCCUGGACCCUGCUGCAAACAUGCUAAUUCAUAGUUCUGGCUAUCUUUUCUAUAGACUUGGUUGCCACCUCUGUUUUAUACUUUCCUUAGUGUGUUAAUUAAUGACGUCCCAGUCUUCUUUCCAAUCAGUUUCUUUCAGAGAAGACACUUUGGUCUCUACGAAUGCCAAACCUCAAACAUUAUAAGUAAGACAUUCAUUUUGUCCUAAUGUCUUGGGAGAAGCUCAUUCUAGUUCUCGUUGAAGGGUUCUACUCUGACUCUCCCCAAUAUCUCUUCAUUCAUUCAUUCCUUCAUUCAAUAUUUAUUGAAAAGCAAGAAAAGAAAUGCAUUCCAAAUUUAAGAAGAGCCUGUGGGAAGGCCAGGAUGAAAAAGGGCAUGGUGUGUCCUCAAGGAACUGAAGGAAAUGCGUUACACCAAAAGAGAAGAGAGCAGGAGAAAGAAUGGCAAGAAAUGAGACUGGAGACAUGGGAAUGCACCAGGUCCCAUACAUCCUUAAAGAUGAAAGCUAUGGCUGCCUGUCCUCAACGCAUUGGAGUUGGUGGCUUCAUGUGUGACAGAUGUCGUGCACCAAUACGACCACCCAGGAAGGACAAAUGCACUUCAAAUACCUACACAUGCCCCUCAGAUAAGAAAUACUUUUUAAAGAAAAGUGGAAAAAUAAUUCUCACACUUUAUAACUAAUCUGUAUUCUUUAGAUGCAUUUGAAAGUAUCUUUUAUUAUAAAACCCAAACUUGAAGUAAGAAAUUUAAAAGAACCAAGAUUGUGGAAAAGGAAAUGUAAGUUCCUAUUUCCCAAUUCAGUUCCACAAUCCCAUAUCCCAGAGGUGCCAUUGUUAACAGUGUUUUGGGUGUUCUUGCAGACAUCGUUCUUUUUAUACAACUAGGUAAAUGAAGUACCUAUUAUAUAUUUUAAUGCAAAUGGAAUCAUCUUACAUACAGUUUUGCAUUUUCAUUUUUUCAAUUAAAAUUGUCAGUACAUUUAAAUCUUUAUCUUCUUUUUAGUGCCUGUAUAUCAUCCCAUAUAGAGAUGUACCAUUAUUUAUUUUACCUGUUAAUGAUAAUUUACAUUGUUUCCUUUUUUUUUUUUUUUUUUUGCUACUAAAAACAGCACUGCAAUGAACAUCCUUCUACAUACAUUUAUUUUCA
This 2267-nucleotide long non-coding RNA is filed under the name Equus caballus (horse). RNAcentral's name for it is "lncRNA (ENSECAG00000053092.1)". The record is from RNAcentral. Lineage: Eukaryota; Metazoa; Chordata; Mammalia; Perissodactyla; Equidae.